This 273-nucleotide ribosomal RNA is filed under the name uncultured bacterium. RNAcentral describes it as "partial 16S ribosomal RNA". It matches the Rfam family "Bacterial small subunit ribosomal RNA", at positions 523 to 796 of the family's 1533-position model. The record is from RNAcentral.
AUACGGGGGGUGCAAGCGUUAUUCGGAUUUAUUGGGCGUAAAGAGCGCGUAGGCGGCUUGGUAAGUCAGAUGUGAAAGCCCGGGGCUCAACCCCGGAAGUGCAUUUGAAACUAUCAGGCUUGAGUAUGGGAGAGGGAAGUGGAAUUCCUGGUGUAGAGGUGAAAUUCGUAGAUAUCAGGAGGAACACCGGUGGCGAAGGCGACUUCCUGGACCAAUACUGACGCUGAGGCGCGAAGGCGUGGGAGCAAACAGGAUUAGAAACCCCAGUAGUCC